AGUGAACGCUGGCGGCAGGCCUAACACAUGCAAGUCGAACGGCAGCACAGUAAGAGCUUGCUCUUACGGGUGGCGAGUGGCGGACGGGUGAGGAAUACGUCGGAAUCUACUUUUUCGUGGGGGAUAACGUAGGGAAACUUACGCUAAUACCGCAUACGACCUACGGGUGAAAGCAGGGGAUCUUCGGACCUUGCGCGAUUGAAUGAGCCGAUGUCGGAUUAGCUAGUUGGCGGGGUAAAGGCCCGCCAAGGCGACGAUCCGUAGCUGGUCUGAGAGGAUGAUCAGCCACACUGGAACUGAGACACGGUCCAGACUCCUACGGGAGGCAGCAGUGGGGAAUAUUGGACAAUGGGCGCAAGCCUGAUCCAGCCAUACCGCGUGGGUGAAGAAGGCCUUCGGGUUGUAAAGCCCUUUUGUUGGGAAAGAAAAGCAGCAGGUUAAUACCCCGCUGUUCUGACGGUACCCAAAGAAUAAGCACCGGCUAACUUCGUG
This 492-nucleotide ribosomal RNA is filed under the name uncultured bacterium. RNAcentral describes it as "partial 16S ribosomal RNA". It matches the Rfam family "Bacterial small subunit ribosomal RNA", at positions 29 to 507 of the family's 1533-position model. The record is from RNAcentral.